GAGGGGCAGCAUGGGAGUUUGCUUGCAAACUUCCGAUGGCGACCGGCGCACGGGUGAGUAACACGUAUCCAACCUGCCGAUAACUCGGGGAUAGCCUUUCGAAAGAAAGAUUAAUAUCCGAUAGGAUAUCAAGGUCGCAUGAUCUUGAUAUUAAAGAAUUUCGGUUAUCGAUGGGGAUGCGUUCCAUUAGUUAGUUGGCGGGGUAACGGCCCACCAAGACGACGAUGGAUAGGGGUUCUGAGAGGAAGGUCCCCCACAUUGGAACUGAGACACGGUCCAAACUCCUACGGGAGGCAGCAGUGAGGAAUAUUGGUCAAUGGACGAGAGUCUGAACCAGCCAAGUAGCGUGAAGGAUGACCGCCCUAUGGGUUGUAAACUUCUUUUAUAUGGGAAUAAAACAGGGUAUGCAUACCCUCUUGUAUGUACCAUAUGAAUAAGGAUCGGCUAACUCCGUGCCAGCAGCCGCGGUAAUACGGAGGAU
RNAcentral lists this ribosomal RNA (481 nucleotides) under uncultured bacterium. RNAcentral's name for it is "bacterial SSU rRNA". It matches the Rfam family "Bacterial small subunit ribosomal RNA", at positions 64 to 533 of the family's 1533-position model. The record is from RNAcentral.